UGGGGAAUAUUGGACAAUGGGCGAAAGCCUGAUCCAGCCAUGCCGCGUGUGUGAAGAAGGUCUUCGGAUUGUAAAGCACUUUAAGUUGGGAGGAAGGGCAGUAAAUUAAUACUUUGUUGUUUUGACGUUACCGACAGAAUAAGCACCGGCUAACUCUGUGCCAGCAGCCGCGGUAAUACAGAGGGUGCAAGCGUUAAUCGGAAUUACUGGGCGUAAAGCGCGCGUAGGUGGUUCGUUAAGUUGGAUGUGAAAUCCCCGGGCUCAACCUGGGAACUGCAUUCAAAACUGACGAGCUAGAGUAUGGUAGAGGGUGGUGGAAUUUCCUGUGUAGCGGUGAAAUGCGUAGAUAUAGGAAGGAACACCAGUGGCGAAGGCGACCACCUGGACUGAUACUGACACUGAGGUGCGAAAGCGUGGGGAGCAAAAGCAG
Molecule: ribosomal RNA, 430 nt
Filed under: uncultured bacterium
Lineage: Bacteria
Description: partial 16S ribosomal RNA
Rfam family: Bacterial small subunit ribosomal RNA
Source: RNAcentral